AACGCGAAGAACCUUACCUACCCUUGACAUGCCAGGAAUCCUGAAGAGAUUUGGGAGUGCUCGAAAGAGAGCCUGGACACAGGUGCUGCAUGGCCGUCGUCAGCUCGUGUCGUGAGAUGUUGGGUUAAGUCCCGCAACGAGCGCAACCCUUGUCAUUAGUUGCUACGAAAGGGCACUCUAAUGAGACUGCCGGUGACAAACCGGAGGAAGGUGGGGAUGACGUCAGGUCAUCAUGGCCCUUAUGGGUAGGGCUACACACGUCAUACAAUGGCCGGGACAGAGGGCUGCCAACCCGCGAGGGGGAGCUAAUCCCAGAAACCCGGUCGUAGUCCGGAUCGUAGUCUGCAACUCGACUGCGUGAAGUCGGAAUCGCUAGUAAUCGCGGAUCAGCUUGCCGCGGUGAAUACGUUCCCGGGUCUUGUACACACCG
This 430-nucleotide ribosomal RNA is filed under the name uncultured bacterium. RNAcentral's name for it is "bacterial SSU rRNA". It matches the Rfam family "Bacterial small subunit ribosomal RNA", at positions 958 to 1392 of the family's 1533-position model. The record is from RNAcentral.